GGGGACGUAGCUCAAUUGGCAGAGCGCUCGCUUCGCAUGCGAGAGGUACGGGGAUCGAAGCCCUGCGUCUCCA
Micromonas pusilla CCMP1545 is the source of this 73-nucleotide transfer RNA. It matches the Rfam family "tRNA". Rfam says of the family: Transfer RNA (tRNA) molecules are approximately 80 nucleotides in length. The record is from Rfam. Lineage: Eukaryota; Viridiplantae; Chlorophyta; Mamiellophyceae; Mamiellales; Mamiellaceae.